UAAUCACAGCAAAUCGCAUUGAAACAAAAUUACCCACUCUCAUUCCUUGAACGAUUUGAAAGUAACAUGAGGGAGAAUCCAGGUAUUAUACUUUCUGUAACAUGAGGGAGAAUCACCUGGUGGAUGUAACAUGAGGGAGAAUCCAGGUAUGAUACUUUCUGUAACAUGACGGAGAAUCACCUGGUGGAUGUAACAUGAGGGAGAAUCCAGAUAUUCCAGAUGGAAUUGGAAUGAAUGGAAUAACCAAACAAUGGACAUACUAACUAUAGAUGCAAUCAAGCUUCUAGUAGAAGGAACUAUAGACUUAUCCCCAUGCGUCCAAGUAUUCUUUAUAUCGACAUUUGGGAGCAACCCUGAACAAUCUACACUAUUUCAACUAGAGAUUUAUGAUGGUACACACAAGCACAAGCCAGCGUUGCCCAAGAAGUAUAAUGAUUACAUAAUCUCCAAAGAGAUCAAGGUCAGAUCCAUAGUAAAGUUGUCAGAGUACAAUUGUCCCAAGUCAAGUAAGACAUGAUGAGAGGAGCAUUUAUCGAUUUCAAUGUCCUUCUCACAAAUGCCGAUUGAUAUAUAUAUGUAAGCAAGGAGGAUCAAGCAAUACUUUGAUCAGUCAUGUCUAUCAGACAUGACCGAUCAAGACAUUAUUUGAUUGCAUUUUUUGGAUUAUCGUAGUAUUUACCAGUCGGUGUAUAUCGCUUAACAAACCACCCAAUACUUAAUUGGUGUGUCUAUAAUAUGAAAGAUAACUGAUACUAAUUGGUAUGUAUUAGUUAAGCCCGAUAACAAUCAAUGUUAACA
Molecule: long non-coding RNA, 798 nt
Organism: Cryptomeria japonica (Japanese cedar)
Lineage: Eukaryota; Viridiplantae; Streptophyta; Pinopsida; Cupressales; Cupressaceae
Exons: 4
Source: RefSeq, a predicted model, not a curated record